CCGCGCCAUAUUGUGUUUAUAAGGAAACAAACUGUGUCGACAUGUUGCGGAUUUGUUGGAUGAGGUUUUGCUGUUGGAUUUUUGCUUGCCCUCACCUUGUUCCACUGACUUCAUGAAUCGUUCCAAGAAGUUUUCCCCAAUCUGGAAUCAUUUUGAUCUUUUGAUUUUGAUGCUAAAUAAGGUGAAGUGUCCGCUCUGCUCCACAGAGCUAUCUUACAUCAAUAAGAGCCCUUCAUCAAUGCUGAGGCAUUUUUGAGCUCGGCAUGGCAAUGAAGAAUUGACAGAUACUCGUGUAAGUACCUCAGUUCCUAAGCAAGCAGUGGAUGAGGCUGUGGUCAACAUGAUCAUCAAAGACUGUCAGCCACUCAACAGUGUUGAAAAUGAGGGAUUCAGGGAGCUCCUGAAGCUUAUCAACUGGCACUUCAAUUUUUAUGCUCACCAUCUUCAUCUGUACACUGUAAUGAGUUUUUUCUAAGGCAGGGGAACUGAUGUCUAAGAGGAGAAAUCGCCUUGGAGCAAAGACACUUCAAAAACUGUUGUUCCUCAAUAAA
Phycodurus eques (leafy seadragon) is the source of this 551-nucleotide long non-coding RNA. RefSeq lists it as uncharacterized. The record is from RefSeq and is a predicted model, not a curated record. The transcript is spliced from 3 exons. Lineage: Eukaryota; Metazoa; Chordata; Actinopteri; Syngnathiformes; Syngnathidae.